AUGACGCCAACGAGCGGCAAUACCACAGACGAAGCUCGGGGAAUCAGGCACGAGCUGCAAGAAGAACCAACCGUAGCAGCUCCGCUUUGGACAUGGGUACGUCCACGCUAUGCCGUCGAGGACGAUCUGGGCUUCACCGUCCACCACUGCCCGGGGCCGCUGCCGCGGCGGCAGCGAGGCGACCACCCCGGGCAAGCCAUGACCGGAGGCCACCACCGAAUGUACCCGGCCCGAUCUGCCCGAUCCUCCACGACAUCCUAUGCACGCCGCCGCCACCAGCCGGCCAUCCCGCCGCCCAGAUCUAGAUCGGCCGCGCCUCCUCGCGGGAUGAGGUCCGCCCCACCUCCUCCAUCACGAGUAGGAGGGGAUCCUCCGCCAACACCGCCGGCCACCCAGCUUAGCCCGACGGCGUCCUACGGCGGCGACAAAGGGAGGGGACGAUGGACGGAGGAGCCUGGCGGCUAG
RNAcentral lists this ribosomal RNA (465 nucleotides) under Triticum aestivum (bread wheat). RNAcentral's name for it is "partial small subunit ribosomal RNA". Lineage: Eukaryota; Viridiplantae; Streptophyta; Magnoliopsida; Poales; Poaceae. The record is from RNAcentral.